RNAcentral lists this ribosomal RNA (494 nucleotides) under uncultured bacterium. RNAcentral's name for it is "partial 16S ribosomal RNA". It matches the Rfam family "Bacterial small subunit ribosomal RNA", at positions 28 to 507 of the family's 1533-position model. The record is from RNAcentral.
GACGAACGCUGGCGGCGUGCUUAACACAUGCAAGUCGAACGGUGAAGCGCCUUCCUUUUUGGUGGGUGUGGAUGAGUGGCGAACGGGUGAGUAACACGUGAGUAACCUGCCCCCUUCUUCUGGAUAACCGCAUGAAAGUGUGGCUAAUACGGGAUAUUCUGGGUCUGUCGCAUGAUGGGUCUGGGAUAGAUAUUGUUUCGGUGGGGGAUGGGCUCGCGGCCUAUCAGCUUGUUGGUGGGGUGAUGGCCUACCAAGGCGGUGACGGGUAGCCGGCCUGAGAGGGUGGACGGUCACACUGGGACUGAGACACGGGCCAGACUCCUACGGGAGGCAGCAGUGGGGAAUAUUGCACAAUGGGCGCAAGCCUGAUGCAGCGACGCCGCGUGAGAGAUGGAGGCCUUCGGGUUGUGAACCUCUUUCGCCAGUGAAGCAGGCCUGCCUCGUUUGUGGGUGGGUUGACGGUAGCUGGAUAAGAAGCGCCGGCUAACUACGUG